This 1190-nucleotide ribosomal RNA is filed under the name Ricania speculum. RNAcentral's name for it is "16S ribosomal RNA". The stretch from base 987 to 1145 matches the Rfam family "Archaeal large subunit ribosomal RNA", at positions 2542 to 2701 of the family's 2987-position model. Lineage: Eukaryota; Metazoa; Arthropoda; Insecta; Hemiptera; Ricaniidae. The record is from RNAcentral.
GUUUUCUUUUUUUUUUUUUUUUUUUUUUUUUUUUUUUUAUAAAAGUUUAUUUUUUUGUUCAUUAUUUUUUUUGAUACAAUUUUUUUUAAUUUAGUUUAUUUAACUGUCAAGGUUUAUUUUUCUUAACUUUUUGAAGAUGAAUUUUUUUUUUUACCUUUUGUGUCAGGGUUAAUUAAUUUUAAAAAUUUAUUUUUUUUUCCCGAAUCAUUUAGGGAUCUAUAUAAUUUUGAAUUUUAUUGUUGAAUAAAUAUUUAUAAAUUUUAUAUAGUUUUGAAAUGAAAUUCGUUCAAUGUUUUAUCUGGUUGUUUGAGAUUUUAAUUUAAUUAAGGAUAUCUUUUUUUAUUUUUUUUUUUUUUGAUUUCUAAGAUUUAGGGGGAUAAGCUCUUUUUUUUAUUAUAAUUUUUUUUUAUUUUCAAAUUUGUAGGAUUAGAAUUUUCCAUCAUUUUAAGUUUUUAAAAAAUUUUUUUUUUUAUUUUUUUUUAUUUAAUUAUUUAUUGGACUUUUUUAUUUAAUUUUUUUUAUUUUGAUAAUGAUUGAAUUAGUAAAAUUUAAUUUUUUUUUUAUGAACUCGGCAAAUAUAAAUUUUCGCCUGUUUAUCAAAAACAUGUCUUUUAGUUUUUUUUAAAGGUUUAACCUGCUCAAUGAUAAUUUAAAUAGCCGCAGUAUUUUAACUGUGCAAAGGUAGCAUAAUAAUUAGUCUUUUAAUUGAGGUCUGGAAUGAAUGGUUGAACGAGAAAUUUACUUUAUUAAUUAAAAUAUUUUGAAUUUAUGAAUUAAGUUAAAAUACUUAAAUUGUUUAGAGGGACGAUAAGACCCUAUAGAUCUUUAAAAUAUUAAUUUUUCUUUCUUUUUGUUGUUUUAUAUAUAGAUUUUUAAUUUUUUUUAGUUGGGGUGAUUUACAAAAUUUUAAACUUUGUUUUAUUUUUACAUUCAUUUAUGUUUUUUUUGAUCCUUUUUUUUUGAUUAAAAGAUAAAGAUACCUUAGGGAUAACAGCGUUAUUUAUUUGGAGAGUUCUAAUCGAUGAAUAAGUUUGCGACCUCGAUGUUGGAUUAAGUUGUGUUUGUGGGGUAGGUUUUACAAAACUGGGUCUGUUCGACCUUUAAAAAUUUACAUGAUCUGAGUUCAAACCGGUGUAAGCCAGGUUGGUUUCUAUCUUCUUUCUGUUUCUUCUGAUUAGUACGAAAGGACU